Molecule: ribosomal RNA, 253 nt
Filed under: uncultured bacterium
Lineage: Bacteria
Description: partial 16S ribosomal RNA
Rfam family: Bacterial small subunit ribosomal RNA
Source: RNAcentral
UACGUAGGUGGCAAGCGUUAUCCGGAAUUAUUGGGCGUAAAGCGCGCGCAGGCGGUUUUUUAAGUCUGAUGUGAAAGCCCCCGGCUCAACCGGGGAGGGUCAUUGGAAACUGGGAAACUUGAGUACAGAAGAGAAGAGUGGAAUUCCACGUGUAGCGGUGAAAUGCGUAGAGAUGUGGAGGAACACCAGUGGCGAAGGCGACUCUUUGGUCUGUAACUGACGCUGAGGCGCGAAAGCGUGGGGAGCAAACAGG